This is a long non-coding RNA of Oncorhynchus keta (chum salmon), 711 nucleotides long. RefSeq lists it as uncharacterized. NCBI's taxonomy places the organism in Eukaryota, Metazoa, Chordata, Actinopteri, Salmoniformes, Salmonidae. The record is from RefSeq and is a predicted model, not a curated record. The transcript is spliced from 3 exons.
GUGGGUCAAGAGCGGGAGUCGUUUGGUGGGUCAAGAGCGGGAGUCGUUUGGUGGGUCAAGAGCGGGAGUCGUUUGGUGGGUCAAGAGCGGGAGUCGUUUGGUGGGUCAAGAGCGGGAGUCGUUUGGUGGGUCAAAAGCGGGAGUCGUUUGGUGGGUCAAAAGCGGGAGUCGUUUGGUGGGUCAAAAGCGGGAGUCGUUUGGUAGGUCAAAAGCGGGAGUCGUUUGGUAGGUCAAAAGCGGGAGUCGUUUGGUAGGUCAAAAGCAGGAGUCGUUUGGUAGGUCAAAAGCAGGAGUCGUUUGGUAGGUCAAAAGCAGGAGUCGUUUGGUAGGUCAAAAGCAGGAGUCGUUUGGUAGGUCAAAAGCAGGAGUCGUUUGGUAGGUCAAAAGCAGGAGUCGUUUGGUAGGUCAAAAGCAGGAGUCGUUUGGUAGGUCAAAAGCAGGAGUCGUUUGGUAGGUCAAAAGCAGGAGUCGUUUGGUAGGUCAAAAGCAGGAGUCGUUUGGUAGGUCAAAAGCAGGAGUCGUUUGUUGUCAAUGUGGCCCAUUGUGAGGGUUGUAACAGAGUUGUUCCUUAGAGCUGGAAUACAGCCAAAUACAUUCCAGAAUUGUGAAGUGAACAAGGAACUGGCGCACCCAAAACAUUUAGGGGCUAUAUGCAAAUAAAAAUGAAUGGCACUGUAGAGCCGUGAUGUGAUAGGUCAAUUAGAACUUUAA